AAAUGCAGGAUUCUAUUCCUCAGGGCAACGUCUAAACAGAGCAUCCUUAUUCGGGUCGGCACAAAUGGAAGAUGAACUGAACCACACACUGACUUCUGGCCCAAAAUACUAUGCUGCUGGUGUUACAUUUCUAAAGCACAGGCCUCCCUCUUAUGUUCCUCUGCCAGCCUUUCCAUUGCGUAUGAGACACAUCCCUAAGUUCACAUGGAGAUAACCAAGGCCCUUCGCCAACUGGACAGCACCCGGCGGCUCCUACCUGGCCACUGUGCUUAGCGGUCCUGGCUUUGCCACAGCCUCUGAACAUUCGCAGAGCUCUGCCCUCGCUCCACAGCCGUCUCCCGCCUCUGAACAUUUGCAGAGCUCUGCCCUCGCUCCACAGCCGUCUCCUGUGGAUGGUCCCAGUUUCACCACAGCCUCUCAACAUUUGCAGAGCUUUGCCCUCGCUCCACAGCCAUCUCCUGUGGAUGGUCCCAGUUUCACCAGAGCCUCUCAACAUUUGCAGAGCUCUGCCCUCGCUCCACAGCCGUCUCCUGUGGGGUGUCCGAGCUUCGCCACAGCCUCUGAACAUUCGCAGAGCUCUGCCCUUGCU
Long non-coding RNA from Homo sapiens (human), 589 nucleotides. The record is from Ensembl. Lineage: Eukaryota; Metazoa; Chordata; Mammalia; Primates; Hominidae.